GCCGCGCCGCCAUGGCCCUGGCGCUGCCGCUGCCCGAGCCGCCCUGGCCGCCGAGCCUGGCCCCGCUGAAGGACGUGGAUAACUUGCUGCGCUGUGGGAUUUGCUUCGACUACUUCAGCAUCGCCGUGGUCAUCCCGCAGUGCUCCCACAACUAUUGUUCCCUUUGUAUCCGCAAGUUUUUGUCCUACAAAACUCAGUGUCCAACAUGCUGUGUGGUAA
Long non-coding RNA from Empidonax traillii (willow flycatcher), 219 nucleotides. RefSeq lists it as uncharacterized. The transcript is spliced from 3 exons. Lineage: Eukaryota; Metazoa; Chordata; Aves; Passeriformes; Tyrannidae. The record is from RefSeq and is a predicted model, not a curated record.